UCCUGGCCGUAAACGGUGGACACUAGGUGUGGGAGGUAUCGACCCCUUCCGUGCCGUAGCAAACGCAUUAAGUGUCCCGCCUGGGGAGUACGAUCGCAAGGUUGAAACUCAAAGGAAUUGACGGGGGCCCGCACAAGCGGUGGAGCAUGUGGUUUAAUUCGACGCAACGCGAAGAACCUUACCAGGGCUUGAACUGCAGGCAAAACCCCUCGAAAGAGGGACUGCUUUCGGGCGGCCUGUAGAGGUGCUGCAUGGCUGUCGUCAGCUCGUGUCGUGAGAUGUUGGGUUAAGUCCCGCAACGAGCGCAACCCUUAUCCUUAGUUGCCAGCGCGUAAUGGCGGGGACUCUAAGGAGACUGCCCCGGAUAACGGG
RNAcentral lists this ribosomal RNA (372 nucleotides) under uncultured bacterium. RNAcentral describes it as "bacterial SSU rRNA". It matches the Rfam family "Bacterial small subunit ribosomal RNA", at positions 794 to 1165 of the family's 1533-position model. The record is from RNAcentral.